Molecule: long non-coding RNA, 753 nt
Organism: Ornithodoros turicata
Lineage: Eukaryota; Metazoa; Arthropoda; Arachnida; Ixodida; Argasidae
Exons: 6
Source: RefSeq, a predicted model, not a curated record
GAACGAUGUGUUCCAUCUAGUUACGGUGAACAUCUAGUCUAUACCGUCUUCGUGGCCGGUUGUAGGAAGAGAAUGUAGGUGAAGCAGACUUCCCCGAAUGGCUGCUGGCGCCUGUAUUUGGUUUUGUGCAACAAGUAACGGAGCAACGACAAUCCAUUCUUCCUGGACACAGCCUGCAAAUACAACAACAACAGCAGUACACCGACGUCGCUCAAAAGUCAAAUGAACCUCCCUCGCAUCAAGCAGAACGCAUUACACCAAAAGCCUCGCUGCGCUAUUGCGAGUGAAAUAUGCAACUUGCGAAAAUGAGGAAAGAAAGAAAUGAGGAAACCUCUCAAACCAGCAAGGUUUCAGAGCGACACUCUUUGGGCACAACGACAGAAAAACUAAUAGAAGAUGUAAAGUCGUACCAGGCUCAUGGUCGCAGAGCCACUCCCGGCAGCAGUUUCCUCGGAGACGAACGAGGCGAGCGUUGCGGCACUCAGCCGAUGGCCGAAAGCCUUCGUGGGGGCAAAGUGAUACGCAGCCGUACGUGCCGUUCUGACACGAGCACUGCGUGCGACAAUCCAGCUUGAACGUCGCUCCGUCCUUGUACUGACCUCCGCCUUCUACCUGGCAUGCCUGACCCUGCACCACUUUAGAAAAACGUCCACACGAAAUGGGGGCAGCAAGGAAAAUGUAAACCGCCAAGAGAGGAAACUCCGAAAUCAACGCAAUUUGAUUAAUACACAAACGUCUGAGGGCUACAGCGAA